UACAGAGGGUGCGAGCGUUGUCCGGAAUCACUGGGCGUAAAGGGCGCGUAGGUGGCGCUGCAAGUCGGUGGUGAAAGCUCGACGCUUAACGUCGAGUCGGCCAUCGAAACUGCAGGGCUCGAGCACUGUAGGGGCAGAUGGAAUUCCGGGUGUAGCGGUGGAAUGCGUAGAGAUCCGGAAGAACACCGGUGGCGAAGGCGGUCUGCUGGGCAGUUGCUGACACUGAGGCGCGACAGCGUGGGGAGCAAACAGG
This 253-nucleotide ribosomal RNA is filed under the name uncultured bacterium. Its description in RNAcentral is "partial 16S ribosomal RNA". It matches the Rfam family "Bacterial small subunit ribosomal RNA", at positions 524 to 776 of the family's 1533-position model. The record is from RNAcentral.